RNAcentral lists this transfer RNA (71 nucleotides) under Falco zoniventris. RNAcentral describes it as "tRNA-Gln". It matches the Rfam family "tRNA". Rfam says of the family: Transfer RNA (tRNA) molecules are approximately 80 nucleotides in length. The record is from RNAcentral. Lineage: Eukaryota; Metazoa; Chordata; Aves; Falconiformes; Falconidae.
UAGGAAGUAAUAUAGGGGGAGUAUGGAGGGCUUUGAUCUCUUUUGUGCAGGUUCAAUUCCUGCCUUCCUAA